GUGUGAGCCACUGUGUUCGGCUGAGUAGGCUAUUUGAUGCUCUGGAACCAGAUAAGGUCACCAAGGAUCAGUGUGUGCCAGGGGUGGUCACCCACUUUGCUCACCCGGGCCUCGUUCCUGGGGGCUGUGUGUGUAGAAAACAGAGAGGGAAACAAACAAAACAAAAUGUAGAACAACAUGAACUGGCCUUUGUGGCGUGGAGACAUUUAAGCUGACAUCCAAAUGACAAGAAGUCAGCCAUUCCGAUGCGGGAGGGAGUGUUCCAGGCAGAGGGAACACCAAGUCUGGGUCAAAAGUGAGCUGGAGGCCGGGUGCAGUGGCUCAUGCCUGUAAUGCCAGCACUUUGGGAGGCUGAGGCGGGUGGAUCACUUGAGGUCGUGAGUUCGAGACCAGCCUGACCAACAUGGUGAAACCCCGUCUCUACUAAAAAUACAAAAAUUAGCUGGGCGUGGUGGCAGGUGCCUGUUAUCUCAGCUACUCAGGAGGCUGAAGCAGGAGAAUCGCUUGAACCCGGGAGGCGGAUGUUGCAGUGGGCCGAAAUCACGGCACCACAUUCCAGCCUGGAUGACAAGAGUGAAACGCCGUCUCAAAAAAAAAAAAAGAAAAAAGAAAAAAGGUGAGCUGGGCUGGAACAAGGGGAAGCUACCUUUUUCCCUCAUCUUCACUGUCCAGCAGAAGUCAUGUAUUCAGGCGGUUCCCAUGUCAGCAUGGAAGCCAGUUCCUGCAAUGUCCCCAACAGAGAUGUGCUUUUCUUCACUGCCUGCUUACCUGUUCUCUUUCUCUAGACAAAGACAAGCUCCUACGGCUGCCCCUCCUGGCCCUCACCUUUCUCGCAUGAAAGCUGCAGAGUCGGCAUGGCAGAUAUUGGCCAGCUCCACUCCUUAGGGCCUGCCCACUUGGCAGCCUCAUGGGCAGGAUGAGGGC
This 924-nucleotide long non-coding RNA is filed under the name Pan troglodytes (chimpanzee). Its description in RNAcentral is "long non-coding RNA NONPTRT018399". The record is from RNAcentral. Lineage: Eukaryota; Metazoa; Chordata; Mammalia; Primates; Hominidae.